AAUAGUUUUAUGCCACAUCAGUAUUCUUAUCCUGAAUUUUAGUAUUUUAAUUUGGAUUUGAUUUUUUUCAAGAUAAAAUCCUGAAAUUCAGGAUAAGAAUACUGAUGUGGCAUAAAACUAUU
Molecule: microRNA precursor, 122 nt
Filed under: Gossypium arboreum
Lineage: Eukaryota; Viridiplantae; Streptophyta; Magnoliopsida; Malvales; Malvaceae
Description: MIR7504 microRNA precursor family
Rfam family: MIR7504 microRNA precursor family
Source: Rfam by way of RNAcentral